AUGCAAACCCAGGCUAUUGUAAUACUUCAUGGAAAAAAGCCAGUUUGCCUCUGUUUGUCCCCUUGUCACUGCCUCUUACCAUCACCGGGGCUCGGAGAGGCAGGGAAAACUGCAGGGAGCGAGAAGAAAAGUGCGGUAGAAGCCCAGACCCGGAGGAUCUCCUCCAAGAUUAAAGCUAGUCCUAAGAGCAACCGAAUUGCUGUGACUGACUUUCACGGGACUGUAAAGAAAGGAGAUGGUUUCCUCAGUGUGUGGCAAGUGUUUCUUCAAGAAAUUCAUCAGCCCUUCUACAAUUACUUCGAGCUCUGAGGGAAGAGAGCUGCCAUCACUUUCUCACAUCCCAAGGUGUUGCAUGGUGGAGAGAAGAAAAGGCUGGAGCAUUUAAUUAUAAUGGGGGUGAGGGGAACGGAGGCUGAAGAAAGCCCUCCCAAGACUACCUGGAAAAGAAAACCUGCAAGGGUAUAUUUGGGAAUCGUGUACGCCAUUUAGAGAUGGGUGAAAACACCCCAUCUUGUGCAAUAAUUAGCCUGAACAAUAAACAUAAUUGGAAUAAAAUCA
This 558-nucleotide long non-coding RNA is filed under the name Struthio camelus australis. Its description in RNAcentral is "lncRNA (ENSSCUG00000016716.1)". Lineage: Eukaryota; Metazoa; Chordata; Aves; Struthioniformes; Struthionidae. The record is from RNAcentral.